AGCUAUCGAGCUUUUCUAGAGGAAGAGCUGAUGAAAAGAGUCACAGCUGAAUAGUGGAGAGAAAAAGCCCGGUAUUUAUUGCUUUUGUUUGGCUUUUGGCUACAGAGACAGGAACCUUCUAAUGGGGUGGAACCAGGCUCCAGGAGGCUGUUCUGCGCAUGUGUGCUCUAGGGAUGGAGGAUGGGAACUAAGGGGUAGAAACUUGGCUUAACCUGGAUUUCUGAGGAGAGACGACCCUAUUUCCAUGACAUUGGAGUGGACAGCUUGCAGUUAUCUGGAGAUCUGGUUCCCUUGGAGACGUUUAGCCAGUAGCCUGGGAAACUUGAGGACCCCCCGCGCCCCCCCAAGGGUCAGGAACCAGCUCGAAGAUCAAGGAGCCUUAUUAGGUAGGCAGUAACAAUCCUUCUGGAGUGUCAGUUGAAAUGUCACUCAAUUAGGAGUCUUCCCCUGGACUGCUGAGCGGAGACAGAUGAUUCUCCUGGGAUAUUUCUCUUUCCCAACCCUGCUUCUGUGGUGAGACGUGCUAGGUGGGGAAACAUGCCCUUCCUGUGAAAUUAGCAGGACACUUAGCAUCACAGGGGAGCAUUUGGUCAACUGAAGGGAGAACUUGCUCCUUUUUUUUUCCUAUCCUUAAAAUAAAG
Molecule: long non-coding RNA, 641 nt
Filed under: Mustela putorius furo (domestic ferret)
Lineage: Eukaryota; Metazoa; Chordata; Mammalia; Carnivora; Mustelidae
Description: lncRNA (ENSMPUG00000028085.1)
Source: RNAcentral